Molecule: ribosomal RNA, 496 nt
Filed under: uncultured bacterium
Lineage: Bacteria
Description: partial 16S ribosomal RNA
Rfam family: Bacterial small subunit ribosomal RNA
Source: RNAcentral
GAGGAAAGCGGGGGGCGUGCCUAAUACAUGCAAGUCGAGCGAACAGAUGAGGAGCUUGCUCCUCUGACGUUAGCGGCGGACGGGUGAGUAACACGUGGAUAACCUACCUAUAAGACUGGGAUAACUUCGGGAAACCGGAGCUAAUACCGGAUAAUAUAUUGAACCGCAUGGUUCAAUAGUGAAAGACGGUUUUGCUGUCACUUAUAGAUGGAUCCGCGCCGCAUGGCUAGUUGGUAAGGUAACGGCUUACCAAGGCAACGAUGCGUAGCCGACCUGAGAGGGUGAUCGGCCACACUGGAACUGAGACACGGUCCAGACUCCUACGGGAGGCAGCAGUAGGGAAUCUUCCGCAAUGGGCGAAAGCCUGACGGAGCAACGCCGCGUGAGUGAUGAAGGUCUUCGGAUCGUAAAACUCUGUUAUUAGGGAAGAACAAAUGUGUAAGUAACUAUGCACGUCUUGACGGUACCUAAUCAGAAAGCCACGGCUAACUACGUG